UCGCAUUCAUUGGGAGAAUGAGCAGG
RNAcentral lists this non-coding RNA (26 nucleotides) under Homo sapiens (human). The record is from RNAcentral. Lineage: Eukaryota; Metazoa; Chordata; Mammalia; Primates; Hominidae.